This 467-nucleotide ribosomal RNA is filed under the name uncultured bacterium. Its description in RNAcentral is "partial 16S ribosomal RNA". It matches the Rfam family "Bacterial small subunit ribosomal RNA", at positions 28 to 507 of the family's 1533-position model. The record is from RNAcentral.
GAUGAACGCUGGCGGCGUGCUUAACACAUGCAAGUCGAACGGAAAGGCCCAAGCUUGCUUGGGUACUCGAGUGGCGAACGGGUGAGUAACACGUGGGUGAUCUGCCCUGCACUUCGGGAUAAGCCUGGGAAACUGGGUCUAAUACCGGAUAGGACCACUUCUUGGAUGUUGUGGUGGAAAGUUUUUUCGGUGUGGGAUGAGCUCGCGGCCUAUCAGCUUGUUGGUGGGGUAAUGGCCUACCAAGGCGUCGACGGGUAGCCGGCCUGAGAGGGUGUACGGCCACAGUGGGACUGGGAUACGGCCCAGACUCCUACGGGAGGCAGCAGUGGGGAAUAUUGCACAAUGGGCGCAAGCCUGAUGCAGCGACGCCGCGUGGGGGAGGACGGCCUUCGGGUUGUAAACUCCUUUCGCUAGGGACGAAGCGUUUUGUGACGGUACCUGGAGAAGAAGCACCGGCUAACUACGUG